CCGACGCACGGAGCCAGUCGUGGUCGUGCCCUAGCAGAGACUUGCCGACGCCAUUGCCGCCAGCGACGCCGAGCGCCUCUGCACAGCGCCGUCGCCGUCCGGAAUUUGUUGCCGGCUUCUCCUCUACCCCACCACCUCUGUGCCCUAGCUUGAAGCCGACGGCCACGGUUUAAUCUCUCCGGCGACCAUUUUUGGUUGCUGUCCUUGCUAUUUCCUAGUGCCGGCAGCCGACCACUUUGCCCUAGAUUCCUUCACACAGUAACCAUAGUGCUCUGCUCACUUUGGUGCCCUAAUUGUGAUCUGGAAGGAAGGGAGGUUUUGUGAUUGUGAAGAUGCUCUUUGGUUCCAGUAGUGCAGAUUCUUGAUUGUGGAUCGAAGGAUAAGGACUGUGAGGUGAAAUUUAGUGCUGUAGAUCAACAAGUGCGGUUGUGAGAUUCUGUUCUGUUCUCUUCUGUGGUGUUCUUGAUUUCAGCUCACUUUGUUCAAGCAACACUCCUUUCCGCCAGUUCCUCUUUGGCUGCUGAUUAAGAACAGAAAUCUGUGAUUUGAGGUCUUUGACGCGAGACGGGUAUCUCGAUUAUUGGAUUGGA
Molecule: long non-coding RNA, 590 nt
Organism: Zingiber officinale
Lineage: Eukaryota; Viridiplantae; Streptophyta; Magnoliopsida; Zingiberales; Zingiberaceae
Exons: 3
Source: RefSeq, a predicted model, not a curated record